Long non-coding RNA from Passer montanus (Eurasian tree sparrow), 606 nucleotides. RefSeq lists it as uncharacterized. The record is from RefSeq and is a predicted model, not a curated record. The transcript is spliced from 3 exons. Lineage: Eukaryota; Metazoa; Chordata; Aves; Passeriformes; Passeridae.
GGGGUAGGUGCCCUGGCAGUUAUAGCAGUGGUGCUGUGUUCUGCCUCAGUGAGGCUGCAAUCUGCUGUCCUUUCAAUGCCCAGAGCACAGAAGAACUGUCUUGGGGAUUUUCUAGGAACGUGGAAAAUGUAUAUGCGCUGGAACCGCUUUUAGAAAGAUUCUCAGAGCUGUCCUGUGCUUUGCCUCUGGGAAACAGAAGUGAACAAGAGUAAUAGAAAUUAACAGCUGAUAAACCAAAUGUCAUAAAAACAUUGGCCCUUCUCCUGGUGCUUUAUUAAAAAUUGAAACUUUUGCUCAUCCGGAGUUAUGUGAAAAACCUCAUAGCCCCAGUGGGACAUUGUGUGGAUCCAGGCAGUGCUGCUGCAGGGAGGGUGCUGGGAUCUGCCAAGUGGGACAGCAGCAAUGCCAAGGAGGGGAUUGAUCUCUAGCCACACCGGAUACAGCUCUGGGGAACUCAGGGAAAUUCACCAAGACUCUCCUAAAGCAAGGAAGAGCAUGAAAAUGUGACUGAUUUUGUCCUUUGAGAGGUUAUCACUGAGAACAAGUGUCCCAGGGAAAGAAGCUGGCGCAUGCUCCAGACAAGGCGAGGCAGCAAGCGUGCCAGGC